This 253-nucleotide ribosomal RNA is filed under the name uncultured bacterium. RNAcentral describes it as "partial 16S ribosomal RNA". It matches the Rfam family "Bacterial small subunit ribosomal RNA", at positions 524 to 776 of the family's 1533-position model. The record is from RNAcentral.
UACGAAGGGGGCUAGCGUUGUUCGGAAUCACUGGGCGUAAAGCGCACGUAGGCGGGUCGUUAAGUCGGGGGUGAAAUGCCAAGGCUCAACCUUGGAACUGUCUUCGAUACUGGCGAUCUCGAGUCCGGGAGAGGUGAGUGGAACUCCGAGUGUAGAGGUGAAAUUCGUAGAUAUUCGGAAGAACACCAGUGGCGAAGGCGGCUCACUGGCCCGGUACUGACGCUGAGGUGCGAAAGCGUGGGGAGCAAACAGG